This 465-nucleotide ribosomal RNA is filed under the name uncultured bacterium. RNAcentral's name for it is "partial 16S ribosomal RNA". It matches the Rfam family "Bacterial small subunit ribosomal RNA", at positions 338 to 795 of the family's 1533-position model. The record is from RNAcentral.
CCUACGGGAGGCAGCAGUAGGGAAUAUUGCUCAAUGGGGGAAACCCUGAAGCAGCAACGCCGCGUGGAGGAUGAAGGUCUUCGGAUGGUAAACCUCUGUCAGCAGGGAAGAACGGUCACUGUGCUAAUCAGCAGUGAAUUGACGGUACCUGCAAAGGAAGCACCGGCUAACUCCGUGCCAGCAGCCGCGGUAAUCCGUAGGGUGCGAGCGUUUAUCGGAAUUACUGGGCGUAAAGCGCUCGUAGGCGGUAUGUCAAGUCAAGGGUGAAAUCCCCGCGCUCAACGUGGGAACUGCCUUUGAAAGUGGCAAACUGGAGUGUGUGAGAGGAUAGUGGAAUUCCAGGUGUAGGAGUGAAAUCCGUAGAUAUCUGGAGGAACAUCAGUGGCGAAGGCGACUAUCUGGCACAUAACUGACGCUGAGGAGCGAAAGCGUGGGUAGCAAACAGGAUUAGAUACCCGAGUAGUC